AGCGAACGCUGGCGGCAGGCUUAACACAUGCAAGUCGAGCGGGCAUCUUCGGAUGUCAGCGGCAGACGGGUGAGUAACACGUGGGAACGUACCCUUCGGUUCGGAACAACUCUGGGAAACUGGAGCUAAUACCGGAUACGCCCUUAUGGGGAAAGGUUUACUGCCGAAGGAUCGGCCCGCGUCUGAUUAGCUAGUUGGUGGGGUAACGGCCUACCAAGGCGACGAUCAGUAGCUGGUCUGAGAGGAUGAUCAGCCACACUGGGACUGAGACACGGCCCAGACUCCUACGCAGGGCAGCAGUGGGGAAUAUUGGACAAUGGGCGCAAGCCUGAUCCAGCCAUGCCGCGUAAGUGAUGAAGGCCUUAGGGUUGUAAAGCUCUUUUGUCCGGGACGAUAAUGACGGUACCGGAAGAAUAAGCCCCGGCUAACUUCGUG
RNAcentral lists this ribosomal RNA (435 nucleotides) under uncultured bacterium. RNAcentral describes it as "partial 16S ribosomal RNA". It matches the Rfam family "Bacterial small subunit ribosomal RNA", at positions 29 to 507 of the family's 1533-position model. The record is from RNAcentral.